GGCCUUGUACACACCGCCCGUCACACCAUGGGAGUGGGCUGCAAAAGAAGUGGGUAGUUUAACCUUCGGGAGGACGCUCACCACUUUGUGGUUCAUGACUGGGGUGAAGUCGUAACAAGGUAGCCCUAGGGGAACCUGGGGCUGGAUCACCUCCUUAUACGAAGAUA
RNAcentral lists this ribosomal RNA (167 nucleotides) under Vibrio sp. HI00D65. RNAcentral's name for it is "partial 16S ribosomal RNA". It matches the Rfam family "Bacterial small subunit ribosomal RNA", at positions 1377 to 1533 of the family's 1533-position model. Lineage: Bacteria; Pseudomonadati; Pseudomonadota; Gammaproteobacteria; Vibrionales; Vibrionaceae. The record is from RNAcentral.